This 1497-nucleotide ribosomal RNA is filed under the name uncultured Bordetella sp. RNAcentral describes it as "partial 16S-23S ribosomal RNA intergenic spacer". It matches the Rfam family "Bacterial small subunit ribosomal RNA". The record is from RNAcentral. Lineage: Bacteria; Pseudomonadati; Pseudomonadota; Betaproteobacteria; Burkholderiales; Alcaligenaceae.
GCAUCAGGCAUGUAGAGGUUGAUGAAAACCAGGUCAAGACUUGCUGGCGGAUGCUUUACAUGCAAGUCGAACGGCAGCGGACUUCGGUCUGGUGGCGAGUGGCGAACGGGUGAUAAUGUCGGAACGUGCCUAGUAGCGGGGAUAACUACUGUGGCCGUAGCUGGCCACCACCUGUCUACGCCCUUCAGGGGAAAGCGGGGGACCUUCGGGCCUCGCACUAUUAGAGCGGCCGAUAUCGGAUUAGCUAGUUGGUGAGGUAACGCUCACCAAGGCGACGAUCCGUAGCUGGUUUUAGCAGGGGACGACCAGCCACACUGGGAUGCGGGACAGCCCAGACUCCUACGGGAGAGCAGCAGUGGGAAUUUUGGACAAUGAAACCUGAUCCAGCCAUCCGCACGUGUGCGAUGAAGGCCUUCCGGGUUACCAACACUGGCGGAAAAGAAACGGCACGGGAUAAUACAGUGCAACCCCGGUGGCUGCCUGCAGAAUAAGCUGCGGCCAGCCCUGACCCUACGUGCAACAGCCGCGGUAAUACGUAGGGUGCAAGCGUUAAUCGGAAUUACUGGGCGUAAAGCGUGCGCAGGCGGUUCGGAAGAAGAUGUGAAAUCCCAGAGCUUAACUUUGGAACUGCAUUUUAACUACCGAGCUAGAGUGUCAGAGGGAGGUGGAAUUCCGCGUGUAGCAGUGAAAUGCGUAGAUAUGCUAAAGAGAACACCGAUGGCGAAGGCAGCCUCCUGGGGAAUUAACACUGACGCUCAUGCACAGGCAAUGGGAGCAGAACAGGAUUAGAUGCCCUGGUAGUCCGCCCUAAACGAUGUCAACUAGCUGUUGGGGCCUUCGGGCCUUGGUGACGCAGCUAACGCGUAGAGAUGACUUACACCUGGAAGGCCACGGUCAAGAUUAAAACUCAAAGGAAUUGACGGGGACCCGCACAAGCGGUGGAUGAUGUGGAUUAAUUCAUUGACGCGAAAAACCUUACCUACCCUUGACAUGUCUGGAAUCCCGAAAGUUGGGGUGGCUUAACGCAAGAGAACCGGAACACAGGUGCACCUGGCGCCGUCGUCGGCUCAUUGUCAAUGAGAUGUUGAGUUCGAUCCGCAACGAGCAUAAUGCACUGUCAUGCAAGACGCUGCGAAGACCUCUGGCAGGACUGCCGGUGACAAGCCGGAGGAAGGUGGGGAUGACGUCAAAUCUCGCGUACCCCUUAUGGGUAGGGCUUCACACGUCAUACAAUGGUCAGGACAGAGGGGUCUUCGCCCGCGAGAAGACCAAUCCAGAAACCCGAUCAAUGAUCCACGAGAUCAUGAUCUGCAACUCGGCCGUGAAGUCGGGACGUCGCUACGUAAUCGCGGAUCAGCAUGUCGCGGUGAUACGUUCCCGGGUCUUGUACACACUUGAAAUCACCAUGGGAGUGGGUUUUACCAGAAGUAGUUAGCCUAAUAAGGAGAGCGUUACCACAGUAGGAUUCAUGGCUGGGGUGAAGUCGUAACAAGGUAA